RNAcentral lists this ribosomal RNA (253 nucleotides) under uncultured bacterium. RNAcentral describes it as "partial 16S ribosomal RNA". It matches the Rfam family "Bacterial small subunit ribosomal RNA", at positions 524 to 776 of the family's 1533-position model. The record is from RNAcentral.
GACGAAGGGGGCUAGCGUUGUUCGGAAUUACUGGGCGUAAAGCGAAUGUAGGUGGUUGUCCAAGUUGGAUGUGAAAGCCUUGAGCUCAACUCAAGAAAUGCAUUCAGGACUGGAUGGCUAGAGGACCGGAGAGGAUAGUGGAAUUCCCAGUGUAGUGGUGAAAUACGUAGAGAUUGGGAAGAACACCAGUGGCGAAGGCGGCUAUCUGGACGGUUUCUGACACUAAGACUCGAAAGCGUGGGGAGCAAACAGG